RNAcentral lists this ribosomal RNA (767 nucleotides) under uncultured Sphingobacteriia bacterium. RNAcentral describes it as "bacterial SSU rRNA". It matches the Rfam family "Bacterial small subunit ribosomal RNA", at positions 60 to 818 of the family's 1533-position model. Lineage: Bacteria; Pseudomonadati; Bacteroidota; Sphingobacteriia. The record is from RNAcentral.
AGUCGUGGGGCAGCAGGUCCGUAGCAAUACGGAUGCUGGCGACCGGCAAACGGGUGCGUAACACGUACGCAACCUUCCUUCAGGCGGGGAAUAGCCCGGGGAAACCCGGAUUAAUACCCCAUAAAAUCUUGGGAUGGCAUCAUCCUAUUAUUAAAGCUUCGGCACCUGAUGAUGGGCGUGCGGCUGAUUAGGUAGUUGGCGGGGUAACGGCCCACCAAGCCAGCGAUCAGUAGCCGAUGUGAGAGCAUGAUCAGCCACACGGGCACUGAGACACGGGCCCGACCCCUACGGGAGGCAGCAGUAAGGAAUAUUGGUCAAUGGACGAAAGUCUGAACCAGCCAUGCCGCGUGGAGGAUGAAGGUCCUCUGGAUUGUAAACUUCUUUUAUUUGGGACGAAAAAGGGGAAUUCCUUCCCACUUGACGGUACCAGAUGAAUAAGCACCGGCUAACUCCGUGCCAGCAGCCGCGGUAAUACGGAGGGUGCAAGCGUUAUCCGGAUUCACUGGGUUUAAAGGGUGCGUAGGCGGAUAGGUAAGUCCGUGGUGAAAUCCUGCAGCUUAACUGCAGAACUGCCAUGGAUACUAUCUAUCUUGAAUGUCGUGGAGGUUAGUGGAAUAUGUCAUGUAGCGGUGAAAUGCUUAGAUAUGACAUAGAACACCCAUUGCGAAGGCAGCUAACUACGCGAUAAUUGACGCUGAUGCACGAAAGCGUGGGGAUCAAACAGGAUUAGAUACCCUGGUAGUCCACGCCCUAAACGAUGAUUACUC